AGUUAUUUCCGUUUUGUGGUUGAGAAGCCGAGUUAAUGACUUACCCAAGGCCGUAACAGUCAGGAAAUACAGAGCUAAGGUUCUAACCCAGGGCUUUUUUGCUAUCUACAGUUUAAAAGAUCAGUCCCAUUUUUCUCAUGGGAGAUAGUGGAGAAAGGGAGUGUACAAAGUGUAAUAAACCAAAAAAUAAAAAAUAAAAAGGUGAGUAAAAGUUUGAUUAGGGCAUACCUAAGUCCUGAUCAGCCUAGAAAGUAUGUAAGAAUGAUGAGUGAAUCAUUUAACUAUAUGUUAUUGAGUAAAAUGUGAAACACACCAAGAAAGUUAUUUCAGGAAGGCAUUUGUCAUGCUAAAAGUUGUUUCAGAAAUGCAUGGCAUGUUCCAACCAGCCUCGAACCAGAGGGAUUUAGUGACUGCCCUGCCCUGCACUGUGCUGCCUCUGCUGCCUGCAGGAGCCUGGCUUUUUGUCUGUGCAGAAAUGCUGAUGCCCACAUGUUGGCAGAAGACUUGCUCUAGCCUGGGGUGCCAAGAGGAGGGCCGUGAGUGUUCUGUUUAAGCAGAUAACCUUUCUGUGCUCACACCGGCCCCAGGCCCACCCUGCUCAAAUCAGGGAGCUGGAUAUUGUCAGGAAUUGGGCAGUAAGACAAUAUUCUUUAAACAUAAAAGCCUUGUUGGGGGCAGGAAUUGUGAGCCAAACUGCUAAAUUAGUAUGUUGUUUUUUCCUUACCAUCCUCCCCAUCCCCUGCUAUUUAAAGAAUAUUCUUAGGAAACAUCUGCUUAUUUCUGCUGCUGACAACUAGCCUUACCCCACAUUGAGGGUGGCGCUAAAUCUCUUCACACAGAAAGUGAGCCUGGGUCAGUGAAAAACAGAAUUUGGGCAGUUAAGGAAUAAAAACAACCUGAGGACCAAAAGCAAUUCACAGAUCUCUGCUAUAAAAAGUUGCCUCUUUGAGGCAGAAGGAAAGAAGAGUGGAGACCCUAGUUCCCUGAACAGAAGAUGCCUUGGAGCAGGAGGAAGUUGUCAGUGUGGAAUGUGUGCCUCAUAAACUGGGCUUAAUAACUGUGUUCUGAUUCAGCUUCUGAGUUUUUGUGUCAUAAUCCAUGGUGUGAUGUUAGCUGUGAUGUUGGAUAUUGCUUCUGCUGUUCUCUUAAUGGCACAUUUGGGAAAGUGUGUUGUCGGUGUUAUCGUGGCUUGAGUCUUCUCAUGCUUUGGCUGAGUUUCCUUUUCUAGCAUGAGUUCCUUUUGGUAACUCCAGGCCACCUGGAAAAGAGUUGGAACUUUCUGGACGUCAGGAUAAAAACUGUUUAAUAAUUUUCACUUUAAACAGAAUCAUGAUUUUGAGGGUCAAACAAAAUAAUGCAAAUUUAGCUUUAGCCCUACCACCAAAGUAAAUCAGAAUUCUAGCCAAAUAUUGGAGGAAAAAUAGUCAACAGUUCUGUGUGUCAUUGAUCUCAACUAUAGCCUUUGCUGCUGAUAGAGAACAUAUAUAUAUCUUCAUGCAUAUGUGAACGUUAUGUGUGUAUAAAAGUUCUUCACACUUCCAGAGUGCUUACUGGGUAUUUGUAAAGGAUUGAGUAGGCACCGUGAUGAAACUUCACAAACCAGAUGGGCAAGAUGCAUUAAUAGCCACAGGGGGACAGGAUAAGGGAGCAAUUCAGGAGAAUUUUAAAUAAAAUUUGUCAGGAGUUCUGGCAUCAGAGUCUGUUUUCAUCCUAUCUAUAUAUAAUAGACAAACAUCGCAUUUUAUAGUAACAGUUUUAGAACUUGGAUGCUUGCAGGCGAGUGACGAACUCCCUGAAGAGCAUACUACCCAAUGUAUCGGUUUCAAGUUUCUUCAGUUAAAAAUGGGUGGGAGAGGGCAGAUGAGAAAGGUGACAAGCAGCUGGCCAAUUGAGGGUACAGGUGGUUACACUAGGGGCAGGGUGUGUGCUGCAUUCCUGACCCCAACUUGCCAGGUAAAGAAAGCCCUGACACUGUCAUUUCCAGAGGCUGAACCAAGAUGGCGCACAGCAGCAAAGCAGCGCUCGCGUCACGUGCCAGCGCCCGGGGCGGGGCCUCAGGAGAACCAGGCCCCGCCCAUCGGGGCGGGGCUAGGGUGUCCGCGGCGAAAGGGGGCGGGGCUUCGAGGCAGGGCGCUGGGGCGGCGGAGGUUGCAGCUACCUCUGCUCGAGUUCGACUCUCCGAGACGUGUCGCGCUGCUCGAGUCGGGGGCGGCUCCGAGCAGAGCUGCCUGCUUCUGGACCUUUCGCAGUUGCAAGCAGACCACACCACCUGCCCUCCGGAAACCAUGGGUGUCGCUAGGCCCAGCCCGGACUCUGCCAGGCUCCGGUGCUCAGUCUGAGAUAAGCCCUGGCCCAGCCCUGCUCCCUUCGUCUGUCAUGGCCGCGCUCCGAUGCUGUCCGCCGGUUUGGGCACACAGGGCACCCAGCCCCAGCCCCGAGAGGUUAAGCCAGGCUUUCUGGCUCCGUUCCACCGGGGAACUGCAGGCCCCAGGCUCCUUUCAGAGCAAGAACAAUUGAUGGCAUGGGAGAAGCCCCUGCCCACCUGCCCACUCUCCUGGCACUGCCCACUCUGAGACCCAUGCACAGGGUCCUCCUGCAGCUGCCAACCCCGUGAGUCCCUCCCCGUCCCCUGACGCUGAGAAGGCCCUGCCCACCCCCACCAUGUGUGAGGUGAUGCCCACUAUCAACGAGGGGGACCCGUUGGGCCCCCCGCAUGGCGCCGAUGCUGACGCCAACUUUGAGCAGCUGAUGGUGAACAUGCUGGAUGAGCGGGAGAAGUUGCUGGAGUCCCUUCGUGAGAGUCAGGAAACCUUGGCAGUCACGCAGAGCCGGCUGCAGGACGCCCUGCACGAGCGGGACCAGCUCCAGCGCCACCUUAACUCCGCCCUCCCCCAGGAAUUUGCCACCCUAACCCGGGAGCUGAGCAUGUGUCGGGAACAGCUUCUAGAGCGGGAGGAAGAGAUAUCAGAGCUGAAAGCGGAGCGGAACAACACAAGGCUGCUUCUGGAACAUCUGGAGUGCCUGGUGUCCCGCCACGAGCGCUCCCUGCGGAUGACCGUGGUGAAACGCCAGGCCCAGUCCCCUUCGGGGGUCUCCAGUGAGGUGGAGGUGCUGAAGGCCCUCAAGUCGCUGUUUGAGCACCACAAGGCCCUGGACGAGAAGGUACGGGAGCGGCUCCGGGCAGCACUGGAGCGAGUUACCACCUUGGAGGAGCAGCUGGCAGGUGCGCACCAGCAGGUGUCUGCCCUGCAGCAGGGGGCAGGGGUUCGGGAUGGAGCAGCAGAAGAGGAGGGGACUAUGGAGCUGGGACCAAAACGCCUAUGGAAGGAGGACCUGGGCCGGGUAGAGGAGCUACAGGAGCUCCUGGAGAAGCAAAACUUUGAGUUGAGCCAGGCCCGAGAGCGACUGGUCACCCUGACAGCAACUGUGGCAGAACUUGAAGAGGACCUGGGCACAGCCCGCCGGGACCUUAUUAAGUCAGAGGAGCUGAGCAGCAAGCACCAGCGGGACCUCCGUGAGGCUCUGGCCCAGAAGGAGGACAUGGAGGAGCGAAUCACCACACUGGAGAAACGCUACCUGGCUGCUCAGCGUGAGGCCACAUCCAUCCAUGACCUGAACGACAGACUGGAGAAUGAGCUGGCCAACAAGGAGUCCCUGCACCGUCAGUGCGAGGAGAAGGUCCGGCACUUACAGGAGCUGCUGGAGGUGGCAGAGCAGAAGCUGCAGCAGACAAUGCGCAAGGCAGAGACGCUGCCAGAGGUGGAGGCUGAGCUGGCCCAGAGGAUUGCAGCCCUCACCAAGGCUGAAGAGCGACACGGAAACAUUGAGGAGCAUCUGAGGCAGCUGGAAGGGCAGCUGGAGGAGAAGAACCAGGAGCUGGCAAGGGUGCGCCAGCGGGAGAAGAUGAAUGAGGACCACAACAAGCGGCUGUCAGACACCGUGGACCGGCUGCUUAGCGAGUCAAAUGAGCGCCUGCAGCUGCAUCUCAAAGAGCGCAUGGCGGCCCUGGAGGAGAAGAACACCCUGAUCCAGGAGCUGGAGAGCUCCCAGCGCCAGAUCGAGGAGCAGCAUCACCACAAGGGCCACCUGUCUGAAGAGAUUGAGAAGCUACGUCAAGAGGUGGACCAGCUGAAGGGUCGAGGGGGGCCGUUUGUGGAUGGCGUCCACUCCAGGUCACACCUGGGCAGUGCAGCGGACAUGCGGUUCUCCUUGAGCUCCACCGCCCAUGCACCCCCCGGUCUGCACCGCCGCUACUCGGCCCUGAGGGAAGACUCGGCCAAGGACUGGGAGCCAUCUCCACUGCCUGGCAUGCGGGCCCCCAAGGCCACCACUGCCUUCGACAGCGACCCUGAGAUCUCUGACGUGGAUGAGGAUGAGCCAGGUGGUCUUGUGGGCUCUGUCGAUGUUGUUUCCCCCAGCGGCCACUCGGAUGCCCAGACUCUGGCAGUGAUGCUGCAGGAACAGCUGGAUGCCAUCAACGAAGAGAUCAGGAUGAUCCAGGAAGAAAAGGAGUCCACGGAGCUCCGCGCGGAGGAGAUCGAGACGCGCGUGACCAGCGGCAGCAUGGAGGCCCUAAACCUGACGCAGCUGCGCAAGCGCGGUUCCAUCCCCACCUCUCUGACCGCCCUCUCGCUGGCCAGUGCGUCUCCUCCCCUCAGUGGCCGCUCCACGCCGAAGCUCGCUUCCCGCAGUGCUGCCCAGGACCUGGACCGAAUGGGGGUCAUGACCUUGCCCAGUGACUUAAGAAAGCAUAGGAGGAAGCUGCUGUCGCCAGUGUCUCGGGAAGAGAACCGAGAGGAUAAAGCCACCAUAAAAUGUGAGACUUCUCCUCCUUCCUCACCCAGGACGCUGCGGCUACAGAAGCUUGGCCACCCAGCCCUGAGCCAGGAGGAAGGCAAGGGCGCCUUGGAAGAUCAAGGCAGCAACCCCAGCAGCAGCAACAGCAGCCAAGACUCCCUGCACAAGGGCACCAAGCGCAAGGGCAUCAAGUCGUCCAUUGGCCGCCUGUUUGGGAAGAAGGAGAAGGGCAGGCUGAUCCAGCUGAGUCGGGAUGGAGCCACAGGCCAUGUUCUGCUAACAGACUCCGAGCUCAGUCUGCAGGAGCCUUUGGUACCUGCUAAGCUGGGGACCCAAGCAGAGAAGGACCGGCGGCUGAAGAAGAAACACCAGCUGCUGGAAGAUGCCCGCAGAAGAGGGAUGCCCUUUGCCCAGUGGGAUGGCCCCACGGUGGUCUCCUGGCUGGAGCUCUGGGUGGGCAUGCCUGCCUGGUACGUGGCAGCCUGCCGGGCCAACGUCAAGAGUGGUGCCAUCAUGUCCGCCCUGUCGGACACAGAAAUCCAGCGGGAGAUUGGCAUCAGCAAUGCCCUGCACCGGCUCAAGCUGCGGCUGGCCAUCCAGGAGAUGGUGUCACUCACUAGUCCCUCUGCCCCGCCCACCUCCAGGACGUCUUCCGGGAAUGUCUGGGUCACCCACGAAGAGAUGGAGACUCUGGCAACAUCCACCAAAACAGACAGUGAGGAGGGCAGCUGGGCUCAGACCCUGGCCUAUGGAGACAUGAAUCACGAGUGGAUUGGGAAUGAGUGGCUGCCUAGCCUGGGCCUUCCCCAGUACCGAAGCUACUUCAUGGAAUGCCUGGUGGAUGCACGCAUGCUGGACCACCUCACCAAGAAGGACCUGCGCGUCCACCUGAAGAUGGUGGACAGCUUCCAUCGAACCAGUCUUCAGUAUGGCAUCAUGUGUCUGAAGAGGCUGAAUUACGACCGUAAGGAGCUGGAGAAGAGGAGGGAGGAGAGCCAGCAUGAGAUCAAGGAUGUGCUGGUCUGGACCAACGACCAGAUGGUCCACUGGGUCCAGUCCAUUGGGCUUCGGGACUACGCGGGCAACCUGCAUGAGAGCGGCGUCCAUGGUGCCCUGCUGGCCCUGGAUGAGAACUUUGACCACAACACGCUGGCUCUGGUCCUCCAGAUCCCCACGCAGAACACCCAGGCCCGCCAGGUGAUGGAGAGAGAGUUCAGUAACCUGUUGGCUUUGGGCACAGACCGGAAGCUGGAUGAUGGGGAGGACAAGGUGUUCCGGCGCGCACCCUCCUGGAGGAAGCGCUUCCGGCCGCGGGACCACCGCGGCGGCGGCCUGCUCAGCUCCUCGGCCGAGACCCUGCCGGCCGCCUUCCGCGUGUCCACCCUGGGGCCCCUGCAGCCGCCCGCGGCCCCGCCCAAGAAGGUCCUGCCGGAAGCCGGGACGGCGGGGGCGCAGAGACUGGAGACCUCCACAGUUCGGACCUACUCCUGCUGACCCCCGCCCGCCCGCCCGUCCCGGGUCUCACGGGGUGCGUCCCCGGCUCGGGCUCACUCCCACUAUCUCUACGGACACAUGCUCUCCGCCUUCCGGGACUAGCCACGGCCCGCAGGGCUGGUGUCCUCCAGGUUUCACAGGCCCAGCCGGCCCUGACCUCUCCUGCUCGUUCCCCUGCCUCCCACGACUCCUAGUCUCGUCUGUGGCUUUCUGGUUGCCCUGGAUCUCAGAAUAUACUCCUCCGGCCCUUCGGCAUCCCACUACCCCGACUCCCAUCGCGCGUCCUUUGUAAGUCUCCUGGAUGGGGUCUCCCGGUGUAGCGGAGGCGCCCGGGUCGCCCAAGCUUGGGAUUCUCCGGGAGAAAGAGAAGGGCAGCCUGGGGUGGGGGUGACGCCACCCUGUCUCUUCUGGACCCAGCCGGGUCUGGACUUUGCCUUCCUCCAGGAUCAGAAACCUAGGCCAAGGACGGAGAUGGUCCUUCCAGGAGAGGGGCACUGCAGACUCCGUCCUGCCUUAGUUAUGCUGCCUCUCGUCCCUGUCCACUCUGGCCCUCGUACCAGAUGGUCUGAGGUUGAUUUUGACACCUCCAGCAUCACCCGUUCUCUAAACCACCGCCACAGUUUGCAGAUCUUGCCUCUUCUUGCUCUGGGGCUGCAGAGGUACAGGAGACCACAUUCUCUCUCAGGAUGGUGAGGCCCGGAGAAGGACUAACGUAGACAUUUUGGAGCCUGGUUUAAGCUGACUCCUAAAUGAGUUUAGGAAGACUCAGAGGGAAAUGGACCCCAGAGCUUUGGGCCAGGGGUGACUGGGUUUGCAAAAACUCUCAGCCCUUGCUCGGUGAGAAGUGUAGACAGGCGAGCCAGAGGGAGGGCUGGUGGCCUCUGGUAGCCUGAAGCCAAAGGGCAGUGGGAAUGGCCCCAGCCCCAGCCCCCGGGGAACGGCCCAGGGGCUGAACAGAUCUAACUGUGCUGCUGCCUCUGCCACCAGCAUCCCUUCCCCUGCUGUCCUCCUCUGCCUCACUUCCUUAAUCCCAGCCGCAUAAGAACAAACCUUAUGAGUGGAUUGAAUAUUGACCCUAAAAUCAGGUUUGGGAGACAGGCAGCCUAGAAUUUUCUUCCUCUGACCUGCCAGGAAGAAAAUAAAGCUUCCUCUUCAGCGAAUCAUAUCCCUGAUUCAGGAAAUCCAGGGUUGAUGAAAGCAGUCAUUCCUCUUUGUCCCCAAAUCAUCCAGUCCUUGACGGGUUCUUGUGGUGUCCAGGGACUGUCUUCUCUAGAAAUUCUUGAGGUCCCCCAGCUUCCGCCAUUUUAAUUUCUUUCCCUAGCAGCAUGGUGGAACUGGGCUGUCAGGAUACAGGUGGUGAUUGGGAGGACUGUUACUCUCAAGAAAUCCCUCUUUCUCACCCGUUCCUCCAAUUGAACAAGGUGCCUAAAAGUGGUAGGUGGUUGGAACUUUGGGCUUCCUUGAAGAGGAGAGGGAAAAUGUCAGGCAUGCUUGUUGGAGAGGGGCCAGCAGAGUGCCAUCCUACAGGUGGCUGGAGCAGCUGGUUUGUGACCUGAUCCAUUUGGGUUGAGAAAGGGCUGGACUAGCGGGGGGAGGGGGAGGGGUGGGCCAAUAGGCCGGAUCGCCCUGUCCUGAGGAGCGAUAGCGCUGUGCUGUGUCUCAGAGCCUUGUGCUCUGCCUGGUAGAGGAGAGCUCGCCAGUGGGGUAGCUGGGUGGGCUCUCACCUGGGCUGGAGCAGGCAGCCACCUGCCUUGCUCUUGUUCCUUGUUUUCUGCCCUUCCUGUCAAGCUACUGGGGAGGGAGAUGGAAGAAUUAUUAAGUGGAAAAUCAACUGGAUAGAGAGAAAGAGCCAAAUUCCAGAGUAAUGGAUGCUGAAGUCAUGGAGAAAGCCCAGGUUCCUCAGAUUGUUGGAGCUGAGCACUAGAAGGCCAUCGACUCCUUCAGGGGAUUGAGUGUCCAUGGGCUAGGCACAGGGGAAGGCCAGCCCCAGCCUGUCCUCCCUACAGCAACCCUGACCCCCAUUGGCCAUGCCAUGAGGCAGCAGGUUGGGGGAGCCAGGUCCAUCCAGGGCCCCCUGGGAAGGAUUGCAGGGAGCGGAUGGAGGCAGGAAAACCGCGCACCAUGUCGUCUUGGUGUACCCUUUGCCUCAUAGCCGAUACAUUUUUUUCUUUGGAGAGUCACAGUGACCCAAGCCUUCCUCGCUGGCCUCCAUGCCUGGCCGGGCCCUUCUCAGUACUGUAUUGGCUCAGUGGAUCAGGAGCAGGUGUGUGGAUGCGUGUGGGUGUGAGUGUGGGUGUGUAUGUACCAAUAAACAACCUGGUUUUAAGACAACA
RNA transcript from Heterocephalus glaber (naked mole-rat), 8624 nucleotides. It is a transcript of the gene named PPFI scaffold protein A4, with no coding region annotated. The record is from RefSeq and is a predicted model, not a curated record. Lineage: Eukaryota; Metazoa; Chordata; Mammalia; Rodentia; Bathyergidae.